RNAcentral lists this ribosomal RNA (290 nucleotides) under uncultured bacterium. RNAcentral's name for it is "partial 16S ribosomal RNA". It matches the Rfam family "Bacterial small subunit ribosomal RNA", at positions 335 to 619 of the family's 1533-position model. The record is from RNAcentral.
ACUCCUACGGGAGGCAGCAGUGGGAAUAUUGCACAAUGGGCGCAAGCCUGAUGCAGCCAUGCCGCGUGUGUGAAGAAGGCCUUCGGGUUGUAAAGCACUUUCAGUAAGGAGGAAAGGUUAGUAGUUAAUACCUGCUAGCUGUGAUGUUACUUACAGAAGAAGCACCGGCUAACUCCGUGCCAGCAGCCGCGGUAAUACGGAGGGUGCGAGCGUUAAUCGGAAUUACUGGGCGUAAAGCGUACGCAGGCGGUUUGUUAAGCGAGAUGUGAAAGCCCCGGCUCAAGCCUGGG